GAUGAACGCUGGCGGCGUGCCUAAUACAUGCAAGUCGAGCGAACAGACGAGGAGCUUGCUCCUCUGACGUUAGCGGCGGACGGGUGAGUAACACGUGGAUAACCUACCUAUAAGACUGGGAUAACUUCGGGAAACCGGAGCUAAUACCGGAUAAUAUAGUGAACCGCAUGGUUCAAUAGUGAAAGACGGUUUUGCUGUCACUUAUAGAUGGAUCCGCGCCGCUUUAGCUAGUUGGUAAGGUAACGGCUUACCAAGGCGACGAUGCGUAGCCGACCUGAGAGGGUGAUCGGCCACACUGGAACUGAGACACGGUCCAGACUCCUACGGGAGGCAGCAGUAGGGAAUAUUCCGCAAUGGGCGAAAGCCUGACGGAGCCACGCCGCGUGAGUGAUGAAGGUCUUCGGAUCGUAAAACUCUGUUAUUAGGGAAGAACAAAUGUGUAAGUAACUAUGCCCGUCUUGACGGUACCUAAUCAGAAAGCCACGGCUAACUACGUG
RNAcentral lists this ribosomal RNA (497 nucleotides) under uncultured bacterium. RNAcentral's name for it is "partial 16S ribosomal RNA". It matches the Rfam family "Bacterial small subunit ribosomal RNA", at positions 28 to 507 of the family's 1533-position model. The record is from RNAcentral.